Molecule: long non-coding RNA, 2868 nt
Organism: Papaver somniferum (opium poppy)
Lineage: Eukaryota; Viridiplantae; Streptophyta; Magnoliopsida; Ranunculales; Papaveraceae
Exons: 8
Source: RefSeq, a predicted model, not a curated record
CCGCUGCUUCCAUGCAGAUCUUACCAUUAUCAUCAAAAACUCUUACCAUUAUCAUCAAAAACCUAAAUUGUGAUUUCCGAUUCUCACUUACCCCAUUGGAUCUAGGGGUUUCCGCACUUGUGUUCCUGAAAAAAUAUAAACAAAAUUACAAAUUUGAUCUCUUUAAUUUUGGGGUUUUUUCUUCUAUGGGUUUAUUCAGAUGUAUACCCAGUUACACACUUGUUGUUAAUAGCACGGUUUGGAGAGGAGAUUGAAGACGGGGUUUCUUUUUUUCUUGUAUCCACCACCACAUAGCAGCCCCUUGCCAUCGCCUAUGCAGUCUAAUCGAUUGGAGUUAGAAGUGUGUAUUUCAAUUAGUAGUUAAUGUUUGUAUUCAAUUGAAUUGGAUUAUCCAAUUAACUUUAAUUUGUCUUUAUAUCUCAAAAAUCAGAAUUGGUGUAUGAAUUGAAGUGUUUGUGUAUGAAGCAUUAUAUGGAUUAAAGUGUCUCGUGUAUGAAAAACUGAAGGAGGUGGAGGUGGUGGCAGUGAGUAUGAAUUGAAAUUUGCAAUUGGUGAACUUGAAAUCUAUAAUCGACAUUGGUUGCUGGUGAUGGUUCUGCUGAUAGUGGAGGGUGUUGGUGGUGACAAAAAGUAAAGCAAAAUUGAAUCGAAAUUGGAAAAUUGGUGGAAUAUAGUGUUGCUGGCGGUGAUGGUGGACGGUGUCGGCGGUGCAGAUUCAGAGUUAGCUGAUUAAGAAAUUGUAAGGAAGAGGCGGGGGUUUUAGAAAUAAGGAAGGGAUUACUGUUAACUUGGUUGUACUGUUGGUGAUGUUUACAGUGGUGUAAAAAGCGGUUCUGCUGCUGAUGUUGAUGAUUGUAUCGGUUGGUAGUGGAGGUGUUGUUUACAGUGGUGACGGCGCUGCUGCUGGUGUGGUAGUGGUGGCGGAAGAGAUAGGUUGGCGCUAGUGGUUGUGGCGGUGGAGGUGAUGGGUUCGGUGGUAACGGCUGUGUUCUGGCGCUGCUGGUGAUGGAGGAGCUAUCGGUGAUGUCUUCUCUAAACUGAAGAAGAAACUGAGAAACAAAAGAGACGAUGAAGGAGUGCUAUUUUCGUCAAGUGACGGAAAAAAAACCGGACCCAAAUCAAAAUCUUUUUAUAAAAUUGAAAUUUUGGCCAUAAAAGAUUCUCCCUUCCUACGGGCCCUCCGAUCGGUCGGCCCAAUAAUCGUACGAAUCCAAUAUUCACUCAUCUGAAUAAUUGGAAUGAGCUGAAUCGGAAAAGACUGCUGUUAGAUGAGGUAUGAAGUUGCAGCCAGUGAUUCCUAUGAUAAACCUGAUGCUGGAAGUGAUGAAAGUUAAAAUUCUCCCUUUCGGGCGAAAUCAUCAUCUGUGUUUCAGUUAAAAUCUCCCUUCCGGCGAAUCCAUCAGCUGAGCCUGAUGGUGAAAGUACUGAAAUUCCAUGUCUUUCCAACUUCCAAAGACCAGAAGCAGAAACUGAUCAGAAUCACUGAUCUGCAUAGUUGGUUUGAGGGGACUUGAUAAAGUUAACUAUUUCGCAGCAAAAGGCUGCUGUUCCCAUAUUUUGGAAAAAAAGCAUUGAUAAAGUAUUGAUAAGGUUAAAGCAGCCAUUGGACCAUGUUUGAUUCUCCCUUUCGGCGAAAUCAUCAUCUGGUGCCUAUCUUCCGAUGCAACAAGAAAAUACAAUGCUAACAAGGUAUGGGUGUAAUUUCAACUGCCAUUUAACUCGAUACUUAUUCUCUAACAAUGCUUUUAUUCUACAGUCCUGUAAGAAUGGUUUGAAUAAUAAGUAAAUGGGCAAGUGUUAUUGGACAUGACAAUUUGGGUCCUUAUAUGCACACAUUUGCUUAGUUUUAGAUUAGAUGGCAGGUAUUGAUUUACUAUUUAGGUGCCAGGAGGAAUGUUCGGUAGUAUAUGUUUGUUUAGAUCCCUUGAGACUCUCACCUUAAAAAGACGUAAGAUUAGAUUUUCUUGUAUUGAUUUGUUGGUCAGUAAGACAGCAACCUUACUUGUAUGAACUAUGGUGUUAUCUUGUCGAGGAAACAUCACUGCUUUGAUGCCAUCGGGGUGUUGCUAAAAUAAUCUCAGCUGUUUAACUGGAUAGACCAAUGGGAUAAACAAGCUCGGGGAGGAUAAGGGAUUUCUGUGAGCCGAACAUCAGGUGGAUCUCUAGGUUUGAAGUCUGGCCUUUCUUGAGCAGUACACGAGGAUGUUGCAAAAGAACUUGCCUCCUAAUCGAAGGGAAAGCCAGAUCUGAUAGUUGGUAACUUCAGUGAUGGAAAGAUUGUGGCAUCUUUGGCCACACACGAAUUAUGACUCAUACAGGUGUUCAGUUCACAGGUAUACAGGGUAGAUAUACUCAGAAAGGCUCAUGACAGUCUGGGAUUUAUGGAUUCUGGAAGUACACCUUAAACCAUGAACAUAGGGAAACUCACAAUCCUCUUAAGAUGUUUUGUGCUCUCGAGAAUUGCACAUUGGCAUUGGGAGUAACCGGGGCAUCUUACGAGUUGACGUUGUGAAGCAAAAGAAAGAUGUCUUUAUGAAUAAGUUUCAUACAAUUUAUACCCUGGGGGUUGCUGUCUUUGUUCCACAAGAACACUGAGAGAAAUCCAAAAGAAUCUUGCUAGGUUCUGCCCACUUCAAUGCAAAAUGGAAUACACAUUUUGUUUCUCAAGUGAUCUUAGAAUUCAAGGCUUGAUUUGGGUAUACCCCAAUUAGUUUGGGUAUACCCAAUAAGACAAAAUGUGGUCAUUAUGAAGUAAACCAAGCCACCCCCAAACCUUGUUUUUUAUAAAUGGCUAAAAUGCCCCCACAAUGAUUGGCACUAAUUUAAUUAAAAUGAUUAGAUUAAUUAAAUUAGUUUGGGUAUACCCCA